Molecule: ribosomal RNA, 402 nt
Filed under: uncultured eukaryote
Lineage: Eukaryota
Description: SSU rRNA
Rfam family: Eukaryotic small subunit ribosomal RNA
Source: RNAcentral
AGCUCUAAUAGCGUAUAUUAAAGUUGUUGCGGUUAAAAAGCUCGUAGUUGAAUCUUGGCGCGGUUGGGGUCGGUCCGCCCACUGGGUGUGCACUGGCUCGGCCGUGCUCUCCUGUCAGAUACGCGCCGGUGCACUUAACUGUGUGCCGGUCAGGCUUCGGCCGGCGUUCUGGCUCUUUUACUUUGAGUAAAUUAGAGUGUUCAAAGCAGGCAAAACAUCAGCCACUGAAUACAUUAGCAUGGGAUAAUGGAAUAGGACUUUGGUUCUAUUUUGUUGGUUUCUAGAGCCGAAGUAAUGAUUAAUAGGGACAGUUGGGGGCAUUAGUAUUUAAUUGUCAGAGGUGAAAUUCUUGGAUUUAUUAAAGACUAACUACUGCGAAAGCAUUUGCCAAGGAUGUUUUCA